GAUGAACGCUGGCGGCGUGCCUAAUACAUGCAAGUCGAGCGAACGGACGAGAAGCUUGCUUCUCUGAUGUUAGCGGCGGACGGGUGAGUAACACGUGGAUAACCUACCUAUAAGACUGGGAUAACUUCGGGAAACCGUAGCUAAUACCGGAUAAUAUUUUGAACCGCAUGGUUCAAAAGUGAAAGACGGUCUUGCUGUCACUUAUAGAUGGAUCCGCGCUGCAUUAGCUAGUUGGUAAGGUAACGGCUUACCAAGGCAACGAUGCAUAGCCGACCUGAGAGGGUGAUCGGCCACACUGGAACUAAGACACGGUCCAGACUCCUACGGGAGGCAGCAGUAGGGAAUCUUCCGCAAUGGGCGAAAGCCUGACGGAGCAACGCCGCGUGAGUGAUGAAGGUCUUCGGAUCGUAAAACUCUGUUAUUAGGGAAGAACAUAUGUGUAAGUAACUGUGCACAUCUUGACGGUACCUAAUCAGAAAGCCACGGCUAACUACGU
This 496-nucleotide ribosomal RNA is filed under the name uncultured bacterium. RNAcentral's name for it is "partial 16S ribosomal RNA". It matches the Rfam family "Bacterial small subunit ribosomal RNA", at positions 28 to 506 of the family's 1533-position model. The record is from RNAcentral.